Molecule: long non-coding RNA, 1131 nt
Organism: Brassica napus (rape)
Lineage: Eukaryota; Viridiplantae; Streptophyta; Magnoliopsida; Brassicales; Brassicaceae
Exons: 2
Source: RefSeq, a predicted model, not a curated record
UAAAACAAAAGAGUUUUUUGUAUUUUGGUCAUUUGGUUCUUCUGCAGUGAACUUCUGAACUUCGACACCAGAUAAAACAUGUUGUUUGUGGCCCACUACAGAUAAGCAGUAACUUCAAAAAAGCUUUUAUAAAAACCAAAGCAGGCUCUCUUAAGCAGAUAACGGAAAUAAGAAUUGAAAUGCAUAAAGACAAACCACAGAAGUACAAAGCAAAGGAGUGAUGAAGAAGAAGAAGACGAUAAUAUUUGUGUCAGAUUAUCACAUUUUGAAGUUCUAGUCUGUUUCACUAACAAACACAACUAUAGAGAUGGGCAUUCAGAUCGAAUUGGGUUUGAAUUUGGAGUUUAAUUUGGAUCGCAUCUCGGAUUAUCAACAAGUUAUUUGCUCUAUUCAAAUCCCCAGAAAAUCAACAAAUCAAGAUUUGAAUUGGGAGAAACCGUGAAUGCGUAUACCUUGAGAUGAACAAUGCCGAUGGUUUUGUGGUGUUUCCUGCGGCCACGGCCACUACAGCUAUACAUCCUCGAUAAACGAUCAGUAGAAUUAUCUCCGAUUAGCCUCACAUCGUCGGAAGGAGACAGCAGAUUCACAUUCUCCGGCCGGCGGAUCUUGGAGUAAGACAAGAUUCCGUCGCGGAGGAGGAACCACCUGGAUCUCCACCCUUUCCCGUAGUUAGUCCACUUGUGGAGGAUCCCGGCGACCGAUCUCCCCGAUGAUAGAUUCUGCCGAUCGGAUCCACCGUUCUCCGCUAUCGCAUCCGUUGAUGGGAGACUCUUCGAUCUAGUCAAAGGCAUCGCCGAUUCGGGAGGAGUCUCGCAAUAUUUUAACAAAAUCGCGAUACGAAGCGCAUUGAUUUUUGAGAUUAUGCUUCGAGAUCGGAGAUAGAGUGGUAAUCCGAUUGACGAAGGCGACCGAUUCUGUAAACUUCAGAUUUUUCGCAGAGAUUCGUGGAAAUUGAACGAGUGAGAUUGCGUAGGACUUGAAAGAAACUUGACUGAGACCUUUAUAUAUGGUCUUAUGCGAAUAUAUACAUACAUUUACACUUUUAAUUAUGAUAACUGGAUUUAAUUAGUGUUUUAUUUACAUUAUUAUGUAUAAUUCUUAAUGGAAAUAAUUUGAAGAAAUGUUGAAAGA